RNAcentral lists this unclassified non-coding RNA (1825 nucleotides) under Leishmania donovani. RNAcentral's name for it is "gene:LdHU3.23.2470(CDS-product:alanine_racemase_p utative)". Lineage: Eukaryota; Euglenozoa; Kinetoplastea; Trypanosomatida; Trypanosomatidae. The record is from RNAcentral.
CUUGAUGCUGUCUCUGCCACGUGCAUUGCUGCUUUCUCCUUUGCGUUCGGUCACUCUGUCCUCGCCCUCCUUCUCUCCGCUCACCUCGCUCGUCGCGUCGCGCGGCCAUUGCCGACAGCGGCCAAGGAGGAGACACAAAAACAAGCACGUUUCGGUGUCGCGUGCGCUCUCCGCUCCUGCGCCGUGCCAUGUCCCGCUACGAUAUCGCUAGCGAGCCUACCGCCGAGACCCUCGCGCUCAACUACAAGGCGGUGCGCGACACGGUGGCGCAGGAGAGCGGAAACCGUCGCGUCACGCUCAUUGCGGUGAGCAAGACCAAGUCUCCUGCAUGUCUUCUAAACCUGUACAGCCUGGGCCAGCGCGUGUUCGGCGAGAACUACGUGCAGGAGCUGGGCGAGAAGGCCAAGGUGCUGCCCGAGGACACGGUGUGGCACUUCAUUGGCCACUUGCAGAGCAACAAGGUGAAGGAGCUGCUGGAGGGGGUGCCCAACCUGCGCGUGAUUCAGACCAUCGACUCCGAGAAUCUGGCGAGCAAGGUGAACGAGGGGUGCAGGAAGUACCGCGGCGGCCGGCCACUCGAGGUGUACAUUCAGGUAAACACCAGUGGCGAAGAGACGAAGAGCGGAACGGAGCCUGGGGAGGCUACUGUGGCACUUGCCAAGUACAUCGUUGAUGAGUGCCCACUGCUGCGGCUGAAGGGACUCAUGACGAUCGGCAUGCCCGACUACACAAGUCGACCAGAAAACUUUGAGUGUCUCACGAAGUGCCGGGAGGACGUGGCGCAGGCAGUGCAGAUGGCGCCGGAGGACCUGGAGCUGUCGAUGGGCAUGAGUGGCGACUACGUGAACGCCAUUCGAAUGGGCUCCACCACCGUGCGCGUCGGAACCUCGAUUUUCGGCCAACGCUACUACCCACACAAGCAGUGACGGGGGUAGGGAGAGGGUUCAUGCAUUCGUCAACACGCCCUCAGACAAGCAGCAGCGGCCCUCGCCUGCGAGCGUCGCUCUCCUCCUCAUGCGGAUGCGUGGAGAGCGGAGGGAGACGGAGGGAGGGGGGUGGUUGGGUCUUUGCCCAACAAGUGUGCACCCAUCGAAAGGGUCGGUAAGGUGAUCAGGUGACGAUGCCGAUACGCGUGCGUUAAGGCGAGUGUGCACGCGCCUGCUUCUGUGCAUUCCCUGUUGCGUUGCCCGUGGCAACCUCCAGAAUCGUUUUCACGGCUUAUCUAGUUUCUCUUUUUCUCUUCCUUUCAGCGCGCCCACCCUCGGCCGCGCAACAUGAGCUCGCCCCUGCUCCACCACCACCCUGACCCUGUCGCAGACCCCAUCGCGUGGUGCGGGGCAGCGCUGGUAAACGUGCGUUGCAACGAUGCGCCGGCUCCGCCAUCUGCACGCGGCCUCAGAGUCUACCUCUACCCCCCGCUGAGCCGGCCGCCCUCACAGCCGCUCACCCAUCAUGCCGGUCGCCACCUGGUGGCGUCCCUCGGGGUGGCGCUCAGGCUCUCCCCCCUCCCACCACUCGUGGACAGUGCGAGGGCCGUGUGUGUGGGAUACACGCUCGAGUCGCGCCGGCACCCUGCCCGUCAUGUGGAUGGCACCGACGUGCUCGAUGUCGCGGGUGGUCCCGGCGCCGCACCAUCCAGGACCUGGCCGCCGACAUCAGUAGCGAUGAAGCGCUCUGGGUUCGCCACGUCGUGGGCACUUGGCCCUGUCACCGCCGGAGGUUUGCUCUGGCAUUCGGCAUGGGAUAGGCUGUGGAGGGGGAUGCUGUGCCCUGUGAUGCCACGCACUGCGGUGUGUCCCCCCGUUGUCGGGCUUACCGUGUUCGU